GACGAACGCUGGCGGCGUGCCUAAUACAUGCAAGUAGAACGCUGAAGGAGGAGCUUGCUCUUCUGGAUGAGUUGCGAACGGGUGAGUAACGCGUAGGUAACCUGCCUGGUAGCGGGGGAUAACUAUUGGAAACGAUAGCUAAUACCGCAUAACAGUAGAUGUUGCAUGACAUUUGCUUAAAAGGUGCAAUUGCACCACUACCAGAUGGACCUGCGUUGUAUUAGCUAGUUGGUGGGGUAACGGCUCACCAAGGCGACGAUACAUAGCCGACCUGAGAGGGUGAUCGGCCACACUGGGACUGAGACACGGCCCAGACUCCUACGGGAGGCAGCAGUAGGGAAUCUUCGGCAAUGGACGGAAGUCUGACCGAGCAACGCCGCGUGAGUGAAGAAGGUUUUCGGAUCGUAAAGCUCUGCUGUAAGAGAAGAACGAGUGUGAUAGUGGAAAGUUCACACUGUGACGGUAUCUGACCAGAAAGGGACGGCUAACUACGUG
RNAcentral lists this ribosomal RNA (495 nucleotides) under uncultured bacterium. Its description in RNAcentral is "partial 16S ribosomal RNA". It matches the Rfam family "Bacterial small subunit ribosomal RNA", at positions 28 to 507 of the family's 1533-position model. The record is from RNAcentral.